Molecule: long non-coding RNA, 1977 nt
Organism: Macaca fascicularis (crab-eating macaque)
Lineage: Eukaryota; Metazoa; Chordata; Mammalia; Primates; Cercopithecidae
Source: Ensembl
GUGAUUUCACCAUAGAUGUGCAUUAGACUUAAUUAGGAAAUAAGAGAUGUGGGCUCUUAUUAGAAAGAAAUUGCUAUCCCCUUGAGACAGAAAAUCAACUAAACGACAUUAUUAGAAACCCAAACACAAGGAUAUCAAAGUGUUCUGUGCCUGGAACUAGUUGCCUCCAAUUAUCCCAUUUGCUCAAGAAAACAAGAAAAAAAUAGAGCAGUUAAAAGAUGGUACUUCAGUUCUAUUAAAUCCAGAAACAGAGGAAGAUUAAUAAAGGAACGUAGGCAGGAUAAGCGGGAGGAAGAGAUUAUUCACUUUAAGAAAUAGUACAGGGAGAAAGGUACCUUGAAGAUGGAGUUAGACCAACAUACAAGGGGCGGAAAAAGGUACCCAAAUUCUAACUGCUUUUAAAGAGGGAAAGGUAUGUUUGUUGUUACUAGAUCAUAAAUGGUGUGUGGAACGUAAAGAUUAUUCACUUUAAGAAAGAGUACAGGGAGAGAGGUACCUCGAAGAUGGAGUUAGACGAACAUACAAGGGGCAGAAAAAGGUACCCAAAUUCUAACUGCUUUUAAGGAGGGAAAGAUGUUUGUUAUUACUAGAGCAUAAGGUGUAUGGUACCUAAGGAAAUCUAAGAGAGAGAAGUCUAGGAUGAUAACCCCAAGAAAACCCAAGUCACUGAGAGGUGACUUUCUAAACCCACAGGACCUCACUUGGAGCAGCUGGGGAACUACUACUUAAAGACUGGAACAGCUGUACCAAGGAGUUACACACAUCUGGACAGACUUAGAAAAUGCAUAAGAGAUAUUCAAAGUAUUUCUUAUGUGAGUUUCCAUGUUAUGCAAUCAUCACAGAGGAGAUACAAGCAUUGCAUUUACUCUGAGAGAACUUAUUGACCUUAGUUGAUGAAUUUAUGAAAUUAGGAUCUUAAUGGAAGGCAGUAGAAAGAUAUGAAGAAAUAUAGAUGUGACAAUCAGAGACCAAGUUCAGGUUUUUGUUAACUGUCUGAUGGAAGAAUCUCUUGAGGAGAUUAUCCGUGUCAUCGAGAGUAGACAAAAUUUGAACAGUGAACAGAGGGCUUGUUAUUUCUUCUCUGUUACUAUGGUAGACUUCACAGAUGAAUCCAGAGUAGUUAUAAAAAUAACUGCCUGGGACAGAAAGCAAAGACAAAAUAAAUGGAAGGGAGCCACAAAGUUCCAGCAGGCAGCAUUAGCUCUUACACAGACUAGAGAAGAAAAAGGACCAGUUUAAGAAGUAGACUAAAUUGUUAAGAAACUCAAGUAGCCUUCCUGAAAGGGGUUGGGGACUAGCACAGGGAAAUUAAAUACCAGUGCAUCAGAAAUUUAAUUUCAGAAGCAACAAAAUUGCUUUAGUGCAGGGAUCUGUUAGUGGUGAUUCUUCAGCUAAGGCAAAUUAUGAACGAAGGAGAAGUCUUUCCUGGCAGAUGGGUUUCAUGUCCCAAGUAAUUCCAUAGCUACGGAUGGUGGAAAUAGCCGCUGUGACACAGGACUAAGAACGGCUGCCCCUGAGAGAUGGUGCAUGUGUGGCAUGGAUUAGAGACUGAAUUGAGGGCACCAUCAGGGACUUAACCCAAGAUUCUAUGGGAAAAAUGGAAAUAGAGGUUCUGGAUAUGCUCGAAGGGAAGAAAGAACCCACAGUGAUUUUGGGGACUGGCUGCUGCUAUUUCAGGUGUCUAUUUCAAAUUUGCAAGGAGACAGAAAUGCCUCAAAUGAUACUAUUAAAGAAGAUGGAAGAACCAAGGCCACAGUUUAGAUAUACCCUAGGGCCAACUGCCCAUAACCAUGUAGUCAAAACUUAAAGUAAUCCUGAUUUCCCCUUAAUGCUCUAAUCAUGACCGAAACACAAAACAUAAGCUUUAUGAGCACUUGAAAUCAAAACAAUCAACUAGAGACAAAUGAGCUUAAAGAACUCUACUUCCCUAAAAGGGAUGGCAAUAUACAACAAGCAAAAAAAAAAAAAAAAAAAAAA